RNAcentral lists this small nuclear RNA (124 nucleotides) under Sus scrofa (pig). Lineage: Eukaryota; Metazoa; Chordata; Mammalia; Artiodactyla; Suidae. The record is from RNAcentral.
GAGGUGAGACUACGCCAGCAAGUCAAAGGACAUCUCAGGUGCUCAUUUCAAAACAACGCAGAGGAGAUUCGCACGUCCCCUGCUCAAGGAUGACACACAAAUUCGUGAAGCAUUCCAUAUUUUA